AACGAACGCUGGCGGCAGGCCUAACACAUGCAAGUCGUGCGAGGACUUCGGUCCUAGCGGCGGACGGGUGAGUAACGCGUGGGAACGUGCCCUUUGCUUCGGAAUAGCCCUGGGAAACUGGGAGUAAUACCGGAUGAGCCCUUUGGGGGAAAGAUUUAUCGGCGAAGGAUCGGCCCGCGUUGGAUUAGGUAGUUGGUGGGGUAAUGGCCUACCAAGCCGACGAUCCAUAGCUGGUUUGAGAGGAUGAUCAGCCACACUGGGACUGAGACACGGCCCAGACUCCUACGGGAGGCAGCAGUGGGGAAUCUUAGACAAUGGGGGAAACCCUGAUCUAGCCAUGCCGCGUGAGCGAUGAAGGCCUUAGGGUUGUAAAGCUCUUUCAGCUGGGAAGAUAAUGACGGUACCAGCAGAAGAAGCCCCGGCUAACUCCGUG
This 433-nucleotide ribosomal RNA is filed under the name uncultured bacterium. Its description in RNAcentral is "partial 16S ribosomal RNA". It matches the Rfam family "Bacterial small subunit ribosomal RNA", at positions 29 to 507 of the family's 1533-position model. The record is from RNAcentral.